Molecule: long non-coding RNA, 1325 nt
Organism: Astyanax mexicanus (Mexican tetra)
Lineage: Eukaryota; Metazoa; Chordata; Actinopteri; Characiformes; Acestrorhamphidae
Exons: 2
Source: RefSeq, a predicted model, not a curated record
AACAAAAAAACAAUAUGAACUUUAAGUAUGAACUUUAAGUAGUUACACAAGUAAAAUAUAUUUCAUAGCAGCAUUAUACGAAAUUGAUGGCUGUUGUUAAUAAAUGUUUGUUCCGCAUGCAUGUGGGUAUAGAUAUGGGAGUAUAUAGGUAGAGUAUUUACAUUAAUUAGAGCAUAAAGCUUAUUGGCUUAUUUGGCACAAACAACACAGAACAAAUAACUCUUUUUGUAUUAAUUUGUGAAGCUUUUUUCUAUAACUAACUUAAUCAGUAUUCAUCUUACUUAAAUUACUUUGCAUAAACUUUACUCCCCAGAAUCUAUACAUAUUGGAUCCUUACAGUACAAUUAUAAUAAUUUUCCUCUUUUUUGUCACAAAGAAAAAAACAGUUUUUUCCUUGUUUGUCCAACUUUAUCUCUCUUUCUCUCUUUUUCUAUCUAUCUUUAUCUAUCUUUCUCUUUCUCAGUCUUAAUCUUUCUUUCAUUCUCCCCACCUCCUUCUUCCUCUCCCCCCAUCCCUCCAUGCCCCAGUGAGUAAUGGGCCCUUUUCACAUUUCCGGGUUUGGAAUGCGGAAGUAAAAAAUAGCAGGGUAAACAACGCGUGUAGAACGUAUAGACGAAAUGGAGCAGCAUAGGAAAUGCUACUGCAGCGAGCCUUUCUGCUCAAACAGCAAACGCAAACAACCAAACCUGAGUUUCCACGACUUUCCAAAUGUCACACGUUUACGCGGUAAAUAGAUAAGAGCAAUUAGGAGAGAGGAAAAUGCCACAUUUACGGUUCUGCGCGGCAGUACAUAUGCGUGUAGCCAGCACUUCAGGCCGGAUGAGCUAUAUGUCAAAGCGGGAGGGAACAGAGCCAGGAAUCAGUUUCAACACGAUUCGCCUGGAAUAAUUUUGGGAGUCGAUAUGAAAACCGCCUGACACCCUACGAGAAGGCAAGUACUCGUCUCGGUUUGAACACUGAAGCUGCCAUGGGACAGAGAGACGAGGAGGACCUGAAGCUAUGCUAACCGAGCCAAGCACGAUUACUGCCGUCCACCGUCUCCUGGCAAAGUGGACGCUGCAGCUGCACGAAUAAGGGAGCUGGAGCAAAAAGUGAUUGAGCUGGAGAAUUAAAUAAAACAGCUUGCAGACCAACCUAGGCUUAACCAUUUCUGCUCAACUAAAGAAGAGUUCCACUUUUUCCACACAAUUUCCCUUGACUCAGUACAAAAUUCUGUCUAAAUAUUUUAGCUUUAACUUACCAUGUGAGCUUCAUUUGUUUUUUGUAUUUUUAGAUUUUUUUUAAUUUGAGUGUUUUAUAAAUAUAAUAAAUGAAAUACAUUUUAA